AUGUGUCUCUCUUCCCAGACAGGACAGACAAGCCAUGAAGAACUCGUUUACAUCCUGAGAGGAGGCAGAGAAGGUAAAUCCUACUCACUAACAAACAGCUUACUGUUACCAAGACUGCAUAAAAAGUCCACAUUUAAAUUGUUCUCUGCUGUAAAGUUCAGGAUGGAUUGUCAUGCUGCUCCAGGCUGGUUUGGUUCACCAGAAGAAAAAAGAAAAAAAAAAAAAAAAAAUUGGUGUGAAACAGCAUCAGCAAGGAAGUUGUGUUAAUUAAUCUAGUUAGGAAAUCUGGUUUAAGGUUUCCUCACCUGCUGACAGUGUCCCUUGAAAACUGGAAAGUGACUUUUUAACUUUAGCCAAGUGUGUUUCCUUCAGAUCAGAGUCACUGCUGUCCAUCUGGCUCAUAUUCAGGUUGGUUAUUGCUCUGGAAAGAAGUUGAUUUAUGUUAUUAGAAUUGUUUUAGUGUCACAAUUAAAAGUUAUUCUGCUCUACUCUAGAAUGUCAUGAGAGCUACGAUACGACAAUACAUCUAAAAACAACCGUCACCCCUGCACUUUGACUAGGGAAAGAAGUCGCAGCCCCCUUGCACUACUCCCCACAGCUCUAGGCAAGUGGUGAGGACUGGCAUGUCUCCCUGCAGUUUCUCUUGCCCACCUGCGUAGAGAGAUCAGUCCACUGUCUGAUGCCUCAGUGCUUGCAAAAAGCAACCUAUCAGCCACCUGCCCUAAAAUCUCCUGCCAGUCAUCAGGAUGCAGUAGGCCAUCCACCGAUUCUGUGUGACCGGGGUGGGGGGGGGCAACUGGAACUGGGACAGUAGCAGGUGGUGUCUCUUCUGGCGGUAGGACACAAAUCAAUUGUCCCUCCUCCAUUUCCUCACUUCCAACAUUCUCAAACCCCAAAGACUCAGGGCCCACAUAUGGAGAAGGAUACAGAGGAAAAACAUCAGGCACAGGUUUCAACAUAGUACAAUGUACCCUUUUUACUCGUGCAAGGGUAUUUGGAAGGGCAAUUGAAUAAACAGCUCCUCCCUCCAUAGGUGCUUGGAUUACCUUGUACUUUAUCAGACUCCAGACAUCUUGUAUUUUAUUCCUACCUCGAUUACUGUAGUCCCUUCGAUAAACCAACUGUCCUUCUUUCAAAUGGCAGCUAUAACCCUUCUGAUAAUGCCUCUCCUUCCUCAGUCUGGCUGCUGCUUGAAUACUCUCUCGAGUACCAUUAAAAGCCACUUGCAAACGCUCCCGAUGUUCCUCCAUCCAAUCCAUUACUGUCCCUACCGUCGGCUGUAAAACUGUCCCAAGGAGGAAAUCAACUGGCAAAUUAGGUUCUUUGCCAAACAUUUAAAAAUGUGGGCACUCACUCUUUGUCUGAUGUAUGGUUGUAUUAUAAGAGAACAACAAUUGAGGCAAAUAAUUAGGCCAGUCAGCUUAUGCAGGCUUGGGAAAUGUACAAAGGAGGCAAUGCAGUGUCCAUUUAAACAUUUCACAUUGGCCAUUGCCUUGGGGAUGGUAGGGCAUGGUGCAUGUCUUCUGUAUCCCAUACAGGUCGCAAAGUCGUUGUAUCAAAGUCGUUGUAUCGUUGCUUUUCUUUUACUGCUGUAACUGUGUGUUUGUAAAACACAAUUUUUGCAGCAAAGGAAGUUUAGGGGGAAGUCGUGGCCUGAUGGUUAGAGUGUUGGACUUGCAAUCCAAGGGUUGCAAGUUUGAGUCUUGGGCCGGCAGGAAUUGUAGGUGGGGGGAGUGAAUGUACAGCGCUCACUCCACCUUCAAUACCACGACUGAGGUGCCCUUGAGCAAGGCACCAAACCCCCAACUGCUCCCCGGGCACUGCAGCAAAAAUGGCUGCCCACUGCUCCGGGUGUGUGUUCACGGUGUGUGUGUUUACUGCUGUGUGUGUGCACUUUGGAUGGGUUAAAUAAAUAAGGUAUAAUGUACAUCCAGCCGGUUGUUAGCUCAGAAUAAAACCUGACAGGGUGAUCAGGACCCCGACGCAAAGCUGGAUGUACAUUAACCCACUUAUUACAUGGCUAUUUGCCACAUAAGUAAAUAAUUAAACACAAAAUAUUGAUUUGAGUUGAAAUAUUUGAACGCAAAGCUUCUGUGAACACAGCAGUUGCGAGCAAGCGGCAAAUUCAAACUAGAUGCACAUUUAAGGGAAACGGUGCAGUCAAACACAACAUUUCACCACAUAAUCAAAGGCAAUAAAAGAUUUAAGACGAAAAUAUUUUAAAAUCUUACCAGUUUGUUAGUUCUCUUAUAAUCCAUUACAGCGUACAAAACAGUCGUAGCAAAAUGGCAGCAGCUGCGUUUGUAUGAAACGAGAGCGAGUCCCCAAUACCAGGAUGACAUAAUUAAAUAAUUGUACACCAUUUUGAAUUGAGUUUUAAAAUUUUAUUAGCUAAACAAACGCGAAGCUUCCACCAAGAAAAACUGUUCCUAGCAGGAGUAUAGCACCGACUUCAGUUACCUGGCUGGAUGAGCCUGUGUUAUUAGCUUUUACCGUUAGUUAUCGAGGGUUAACAUACCUCAGAAUGUCGUGACUGACCAAUCAGAAUCAAGUAUUCCACAAAGCAGCAAAUGAAUAGAGUGCAAGUCUAAAAAGGACGUGUUUUUUUUUUUUUUUUUUUUUAAAGAAUAGAAUAGAAUUAGAAUAGAGUGCUAGAGUUAGAGGGUCAAAUAAAGAUGGAAGAGAUUUGUUUUUAGCCAAUUCUUGAAGAUGGUAAUAAUAUUUAAGAUUCUAGUUAAAAGGUUAAAAUAAAAAUCAGACAUCCAACAGUAAAACUACACUGCUGAAAAAAACAAAAAACAAAAAAAACAAUAGAAACCAUCAAAUAAUUUGUAAUGGUUUUACUGGUUAUAAUGGGACUUGUAUUGAUUUUACUGGAAACUGUAAUGGACCCUGUGGCUUUCUACUGGUAAUUGGUCGCCCUCUAUUGGUGGCUUUUUAAAACCACUAAAUUCUAAUUGAAAUGUCCCAAAACACACCUACUCUGAUUGGUUCGUUCGUCUUUCAUAGACAUACAUGAUAAGAAAUGUGUGUGUAGUUGAUGUAGGACAGAGUAUGUUGUUUAAAAAGCUAAAAACGCUGUGCAGUUUUACAAAGCCUUCAUUAUAAUGCACAGAAGAAGAAGAAAAAAAAACUUUUGUUUACCUAAAUUAACCUGAUCUUUAGGCUAACAGACAAACAACCCACUACUUUUAGUAAAUUAAUUGGGUUGAUUAUCCACAGUGUGAGGAUUAGUUCUUCAGAUAGAAGCAUGAAUUAUGAAUAUAAAAAGAAUAUAUCAGUAUUGUUUUAAUUUAUAUAGCAUGACCCUGUUUUUAUACAGUCUAUGAGCAUGACAAGACAAUUAUUGUUACAUAUAAAUAUCUGUCAUGCAGUUGAUAAAUGACACCGCAGUAGGCUAAUGUAUCUGCUGUGUGCCAUUUAUAUUUUUAUAAAACUUAAAUUUUCUUUACUACAUUGCAAAGUAAAGACUUUUCCUCCCCUUUAUUUCAGGAAAAUAUGCUGCUCCUCAAUAUUUUAAAGUUAAGAAAUCGAAAAACUUUUAUUUCUACCGGCCAGUGAUGAUUCUGAAAGGACAUACCUGUAAUCUGUUGCUAUAGUAGUAUUUUAGUGCAGUUGUCUCACAGCCACUGCGGUCAAAUAUUGAGAUAAUCUUUAUAAAGUAUCAUCUAUUUAUAUUAAAUUAAUGUAUUAAAUGUGUAUCUUUUCCAAUACCCAUCUUGGAAAACCAUUGGCCUAAAAGGAAAAUGCUUAAUGUGGCGUAAUGCAUUAAAACGUGUUUCAAAAAGACCAAACUCAGUAAACAUUUUUAAUAAAGCAUUCUAUUCACAGAUAAGCAGGUAAUGGAAGGAAAAUGCUUAACGCAUAAUUAAUCGCGUUGCGUUCGUAUUCUGGGCUCAUAUCUGCUUGUCUGUGAAUAGAAUGCUUUAUUGAUAAUUUGUUUACUGAGUUUGGUCUUUUUAAAACACAGUUUUAAUGCAUUAAGCCACAUACUUUCACGUUAAGCGCUUUAGAAUGUCCCAGUGAUUCAUUUGUGAAUUUGAGUGGUCCAGAAAAUUAAACUUGCAGCAGCUAACAUCUCGUGAUUCAAUAAAUCAGACAUAGUGAGUCAAGCUAACAAUAAAGAACUAUGCAUUAUAAUGAAGGCUUUGUAAAACUGCACAGCGUUUUUAGCUUUUUAAACAACAUACUCAGUCCUACAUCAACUACACACACAUUUCCUAUUAUGUAUGUCUAUGAAAGAUGAUCGAACCAAUCAGAGUAGGUAAGGGGUGGGGCGACACAUGCAGCCCCGCCUCGAUCUGCAGGCUGCAGCCGGGUGUACUUGCUUAAAAUAAAUGUUUUAAAUAUAUAGCAAUGUGCAGCCAGCAGAGGGCAGAUGUCUGAUUUACUUACAUUUACACAAUAAUAGUCUUUUCAAAAUGAAAUAAAACAUUGGGUACACCGGAAUAGAGUCCUGCAAUGGGUCAGGUACCCUCAUAAAAGUGGCUAAAAUGGGUGAAUUGUGACAUUCUAAAAUGCACGGGUGGGGAUGCGGGCAGAUAAUUAACUCAUUGUGGGCGGGUAGUAGCGCGGAUGAAAAAUAUGUGCAAUAUUUGUAUGUCUACAUUACCAUUACACAUACGCAACAACGAUAUGACAUUUGACCAUGGGCGUCGCUAGGCCAUUUUUAGGGGAGCUAUAGCCCCCCUAAAAUGACCACUCAGCCCCCCUAAAAUUUUGAGAUUACAUUAACUGUACACAAAUUUCUG
This is a long non-coding RNA of Cyprinus carpio carpio, 4751 nucleotides long. Lineage: Eukaryota; Metazoa; Chordata; Actinopteri; Cypriniformes; Cyprinidae. The record is from Ensembl.